This 1415-nucleotide ribosomal RNA is filed under the name Lactococcus sp. Its description in RNAcentral is "16S ribosomal RNA". It matches the Rfam family "Bacterial small subunit ribosomal RNA". Lineage: Bacteria; Bacillati; Bacillota; Bacilli; Lactobacillales; Streptococcaceae. The record is from RNAcentral.
CUAAUACAUGCAAGUCGAGCGGAGAAGCUUCUUCGGAAGUGGAUCAGCGGCGAACGGGUGAGUAACGCGUGGGAAAUCUGCCUUUGAGCGGGGGACAACAGUUAGAAAUGACUGCUAAUACCGCAUAACAAUGAGAGACACAUGUUUCUUAUUUGAAAGAUGCAAAUGCAUCACUCAAAGAUGAUCCCGCGUUGUAUUAGCUAGUUGGUGAGGUAGAGGCUCACCAAGGCGAUGAUACAUAGCCGACCUGAGAGGGUGAUCGGCCACAUUGGGACUGAGACACGGCCCAAACUCCUACGGAGGCAGCAGUAGGGAAUCUUCGGCAAUGGGGGCAACCCUGACCGAGCAACGCGCGUGAGUGAAGAAGGUUUUCGGAUCGUAAAACUCUGUUGUGAGAGAAGAACGGAUAUGAGAGUGGAAAGUUCAUAUCGUGACGGUAUCUCACCAGAAAGGGACGGCUAACUACGUGCCAGCAGCCGCGGUAAUACGUAGGUCCCGAGCGUUGUCCGGAUUUAUUGGGCGUAAAGCGAGCGCAGGUGGUUUCUUAAGUGGGGUGUAAAAGGCAGUGGCUCAACCAUUGUGUGCAUUCCAAACUGGGAGACUUGAGUGCAGGAGAGGAGAGUGGAAUUCCAUGUGUAGCGGUGAAAUGCGUAGAUAUAUGGAGGAACACCGGAGGCGAAAGCGGCUCUCUGGCCUGUAACUGACACUGAGGCUCGAAAGCGUGGGGAGCAAACAGGAUUAGAUACCCUGGUAGUCCACGCCGUAAACGAUGAGUGCUAGCCGUGGGGAGCUAUAAGUUUUCCGUGGCGCAGUAACGCAAUAAGCACUCCGCCUGGGGAGUACGACCGCAAGGUUGAAACUCAAAGGAAUUGACGGGGGCCGCACAAGCGGUGAAGCAUGUGGUUUAAUUCGAAGCAACGCGAAGAACUUACCAGGUCUUGACAUACAAAUGCUAGAUGUAGAGAUACAUUGUUACUUCGGUACAUUGGAUACAGGUGGUGCAUGGUUGUCGUCAGCUCGUGUCGUGAGAUGUUGGGUUAAGUCCCGCAACGAGCGCAACCCCUAUGUUUAGUUGCCAUCAUUAAGUUGGGCACUCUAGACAGACUGCCGGUGAUAAACCGGAGGAAGGUGGGGAUGACGUCAAAUCAUCAUGCCCCUUAUGACCUGGGCUACACACGUGCUACAAUGGAUGGUACAACGAGUCGCCAACCCGCGAGGGUGCGCUAAUCUCUUAAAACCAUUCUCAGUUCGGAUUGUAGGCUGCAACUCGCCUACAUGAAGUCGGAAUCGCUAGUAAUCGCGGAUCAGCACGCCGCGGUGAAUACGUUCCCGGGCCUUGUACACACCGCCCGUCACMCCACGGGAGUUGGGGUGCCCGAAGUCAGUAGCCUAACCUUUUAGGAGGCGCUGCCUAA